Dermochelys coriacea (leatherback sea turtle) is the source of this 947-nucleotide long non-coding RNA. RefSeq lists it as uncharacterized. The transcript is spliced from 3 exons. The record is from RefSeq and is a predicted model, not a curated record. NCBI's taxonomy places the organism in Eukaryota, Metazoa, Chordata, Testudines, Dermochelyidae.
UGUUGAAAAUUAUCUGAGGAACCAGUAGCAUCCAUAGGUAGAGAGAGUUGGUAGCUUUCAAGAGGAGGGUGUUGCUCUUGUUUGUGGUAACUCAGUGCUUAGGGCCCACAGCUGCAGGAGCAACAGGGACAGUGGCAGCUUUCUUCUGGUGGAUUGCUUUGAAGUUCUUGGUCUCUACCCUCUCCUCUUGUUUAGACAUAGGCGCAAGAGGCUGAAGAGCAGGCUCUGGCUUCCCUGUGGACUGAAAUCCUAAACGAUUAAAAUUUUUGGAUGCCCAACUUGACAUCUCGGAGAGACUUAAAUCUUGGAUGCUACGCUCCCAAAAUCACUAGCCAAUCCUGAAAAUUUAGGCUUCUGUGCAGAUACAGACAAGAGGCCUGGCUUCACCAUUCCCUUUCCAUGAAGGAUCUCUACCUCUAACAGUUGUUUUUCUGGGAGCCUCAUCCUUUGACCAUUGCAAUUUCCUGAGAUGAGUCAGAGUAAAUGGCUGAACUAGAGGGAAAUUCUUCCUCUGAUCCAUAUAUGCAGAUUAAAUGUACAUUUGCAACAAACCAGUUCAAUGGGCAUUAUGCACAAUAUGAUCUGUCGUGUGCUUCGAUAACUAGUAUUUUACCCUGGGACAGCAAUUAUUAUUGUUUUUAUUCCUAAGAAGAAAUGAUUAAAUCAAACGUUUGAAGCUGUUUGUGUUUGUACUAAUGCGGGAAUAGUCUUUGACAUUGUUUUACUCACCUUAGAUACAACGUCUCACAUACCCAUGGCUACUUGCAGGGGGGAAGAGGCCAAUGUUUAUCUGUUUUGAGUAUGUUGUUAGUUCAAGGGCCAAGUAAUAAAGCAAGCUCUAUUUACAGUAAUACAAUUAAUAGAUUGCUGGUUAUUGAAAGGUAUUUAGGUGAAGCAUUAUGAACUGCCAGAAUGUUAUUCAGAGAACACAUUUCACUUACAUUUGA